Molecule: ribosomal RNA, 500 nt
Filed under: uncultured bacterium
Lineage: Bacteria
Description: bacterial SSU rRNA
Rfam family: Bacterial small subunit ribosomal RNA
Source: RNAcentral
CAAGUCGAGCGAUGAAGUUUCCUUCGGGAAAUGGAUUAGCGGCGGACGGGUGAGUAACACGUGGGUAACCUGCCUUAUAGUGGGGGAUAGCCUUUCGAAAGGAAGAUUAAUACCGCAUAAGAUUGUAGUAUCGCAUGAUAUAGCAAUUAAAGGAGCAAUUCGCUAUAAGAUGGACCCGCGUCGCAUUAGCUAGUUGGUGAGGUAAUGGCUCACCAAGGCGACGAUGCGUAGCCGACCUGAGAGGGUGAUCGGCCACAUUGGGACUGAGACACGGCCCAGACUCCUACGGGAGGCAGCAGUGGGGAAUAUUGCACAAUGGGCGAAAGCCUGAUGCAGCAACGCCGCGUGAGUGAUGACGACCUUCGGGUUGUAAAACUCUGUCUUCAGGGACGAUAAUGACGGUACCUGAGGAGGAAGCCACGGCUAACUACGUGCCAGCAGCCCGCGGUAAUACGUAGGUGGCAAGCGUUGUCCGGAUUUACUGGGCGUAAAGGGAGCGU